Molecule: ribosomal RNA, 641 nt
Filed under: Schlechtendalia chinensis (horned gall aphid)
Lineage: Eukaryota; Metazoa; Arthropoda; Insecta; Hemiptera; Aphididae
Description: SSU rRNA
Rfam family: Eukaryotic small subunit ribosomal RNA
Source: RNAcentral
CUGGUUGAUCCUGCCAGUAGUCAUAUGCUUGUCUCAAAGAUUAAGCCAUGCAUGUCUCAGUGCAAGCCGCAUUAAGGUGAAACCGCGAAAGGCUCAUUAAAUCAGUUGUGGUUCCUUAGAUCGUACACGAGUUACUUGGAUAACUGUGGUAAUUCUAGAGCUAAUACAUGCCGACAGAGUUCCGACCGUCGCGGCGGCGCCUCCGGGCGUCGUGCGCGGGAGGAACGCUUUUAUUAGAUCAAAACCGGCCCGUCGCGGGCGCGCCUCGCGCGCGCCCCGAUCGCGGCCCGCGCAAAGACCUGGUGACUCUGAAUAACUUCGAGCUGAUCGCACGGUCUCCGUACCGGCGACGCAUCUUUCAAAUGUCUGCCUUAUCAACUGUCGACGGUAGGUUCCAUGCCUACCGUGGUGGUAACGGGUAACGGGGAAUCAGGGUUCGAUUCCGGAGAGGGAGCCUGAGAAACGGCUACCACAUCCAAGGAAGGCAGCAGGCGCGCAAAUUACCCACUCCCGGAACGGGGAGGUAGUGACGAAAAAUAACGAUACGGGACUCAUCCGAGGCCCCGUAAUCGGAAUGAGAACACUUUAAAACCUUUAAACGAGGAUCAAUUGGAGGGCAAGUCUGGUGCCAGCAGCCGCGG